RNAcentral lists this long non-coding RNA (535 nucleotides) under Scophthalmus maximus (turbot). RNAcentral's name for it is "lncRNA (ENSSMAG00000037062.1)". The record is from RNAcentral. Lineage: Eukaryota; Metazoa; Chordata; Actinopteri; Pleuronectiformes; Scophthalmidae.
CCUCUUUCAGACACACACAAACGAUUUUGAUUGAACGCUAUAAUUUACAUGGAAAUGCAAAGGAAAUAUUCUCACCCUGUUUGAUCAUUUUUCAGACAUUACGUUGGGCUUCAUGCUGUCAGCUGGAUGACUGAACCUGACGGAGUUCUGGUCCAGUCUUUGCUCUACACCUGCACUUGUGGUCUUCGCACUGCUGUCCGCAUUACCUUGGAUGUAAGAUUGACAACACCACCUUCUGCCUCCCAGCGACCCCUAACUCCAUCAGGACUCUCUGCAGGAAAGUUAAAAUAUCUCAAAGUAGCAGGUUUAGAGGUGUCCUGGGUCCGUUGUCUGGCAUGAAUGUAUCAUGAGUGGGAAGGCAAAGAAAAACACAUUUUAUUUUUGUUCCCAUAUUAUUCAGAAAUGGUUUCUCACCAAAUAAAUGUAGCCUUAAUUGGCAACUGUUGUUGAUUGAAUCAAAUAACAAGUUAAACCAGAUAAACAAACUGUAGGUUAUGUGGCUCCUUUUUGAUUUUCUAAAUCAAUUGUAAUUGUG